GAAAUGCGAUAAGUAGUGUGAAUUGCAGAAUUCAGUGAAUCAUCGAAUCUUUGAACGCACAUUGCGCCCCUCGGUAUUCCGUGGGGCAUGCCUGUUCGAGCGUCAUCUACACCCUCAAGCUCUGCUUGGUGUUGGGCGUCUGUCCCGCCUCCGCGCGCGGACUCGCCCCAUAUGCAUUGGCAGCGGUUCCUUGCCCCCCUCUUUGCGCAGCACAUUGCCAUUCGAGGCGGCGGCGGCCCGCGUCCAACAAGCUCAACCCCCCCGUCUUUGACCUCGGAUCAGGUAGGGAUACCCGCUGAACUUAAGC
RNAcentral lists this unclassified non-coding RNA (307 nucleotides) under plant metagenome. RNAcentral describes it as "partial contains 5.8S ribosomal RNA, internal transcribed spacer 2, and large subunit ribosomal RNA". The stretch from base 1 to 105 matches the Rfam family "5.8S ribosomal RNA", at positions 50 to 154 of the family's 154-position model. The record is from RNAcentral.